Molecule: ribosomal RNA, 448 nt
Filed under: uncultured bacterium
Lineage: Bacteria
Description: bacterial SSU rRNA
Rfam family: Bacterial small subunit ribosomal RNA
Source: RNAcentral
AGUACGCUAUAGAGUUUGAUCAUGGCUCAGGACGAACGCUGGCGGCGUGGAUUAGGCAUGCAAGUCGCGCGACGGGCCUUCGGGCUACGGAGCGGCGAACGGGUGAGUAACACGUGAACAAUCUGUCCCUUCAUUCCGGAUAAUUGGCCGAAAGGCCUUGUAAUACGGGCGAGGGUCCCCGGGAGGCAUCUCCUGGGAAGGAAGGCGCAAGCCGUGCAGGGAGGAGUUCGCGGAUUAUCAGCUUGUUGGUGGGGUAAUGGCCUACCAAGGCGACGACGAUUAGCUGGUCUGAGAGGAUGGUCAGCCACAUUGGAACUGGGAUACUGUCCAGACUCCUACGGGAGGCUGCAGUCGAGAAUCUUGGGCAAUGCACGAAAGUGUGACCCAGCGACGCCGCGUGAAGGAUGAAGGACCUCUGGUUCGUAAACUUCUUUUAGGGGAGAAGAAU